RNAcentral lists this ribosomal RNA (442 nucleotides) under uncultured Prevotella sp. Its description in RNAcentral is "bacterial SSU rRNA". It matches the Rfam family "Bacterial small subunit ribosomal RNA", at positions 355 to 794 of the family's 1533-position model. The record is from RNAcentral. Lineage: Bacteria; Pseudomonadati; Bacteroidota; Bacteroidia; Bacteroidales; Prevotellaceae.
UGAGGAAUAUUGGUCAAUGGGCGGAAGCCUGAACCAGCCAAGUAGCGUGAGGGAUGACUGCCCUAUGGGUUGUAAACCUCUUUUAUAAGGGAAUAAAAUACGGGACGUGUCCUGUUUUGCAUGUACCUUAUGAAUAAGGACCGGCUAAUUCCGUGCCAGCAGCCGCGGUAAUACGGAAGGUCCGGGCGUUAUCCGGAUUUAUUGGGUUUAAAGGGAGCGUAGGCUGGAGAUUAAGCGUGUUGUGAAAUGCCGCGGCUCAACCGUGGCACUGCAGCGCGAACUGGUUUCCUUGAGUGCGCUGAAAGUGGGCGGAAUUUGUGGUGUAGCGGUGAAAUGCUUAGAUAUCACGAAGAACUCCGAUUGCGAAGGCAGCUCACUGUAUCGCGACUGACGCUGAAGCUCGAAAGUGCGGGUAUCGAACAGGAUUAGAUACCCUGGUAGU